Molecule: long non-coding RNA, 1423 nt
Organism: Gopherus flavomarginatus (Mexican gopher tortoise)
Lineage: Eukaryota; Metazoa; Chordata; Testudines; Testudinidae
Exons: 3
Source: RefSeq, a predicted model, not a curated record
CUCCCGCUCCCCAGUCGUUUGGAGUUUCGGUUUCUUGCAAAAGGAGCGUUGUGAAUGAAAUUGAGAAUUUUCCGGGAAUCGGUACCAGCCGCAGGAGGCCAGCAGGGGGCGGCAGAGCUGAGCCACGGGGGAGCGUCACAAGCCUCAGGGCAAACAGCUGCGAGGAAGUAGAGGUUCUAGAUCCCACUCACCACCAUGGCAUCAAUGUGGCCCUGCAGAUAUUGUGUAACAACAGUGACGAACGUCUCUCAAGCGACAUUCUUCUCCAUUUCUUUUUGAUAUGGAAAGCCCAGUUACCUGAGACUCUCCUUUAACCCGCCAAGAAGGAUAAAGAUCUGCAUCACAGCUAGUGGGUCACGUCUUAGAGUAUCUGCUUUUUGUAACUCCCAUGGAGCACUUCUGUACUGUCCAAAGACACAGCAUAGUUGAUAUAACUGCUGCAAAGCAGCUGCAAAACCUGCUUGGAUCAGAAACUGUUCUGAGAAACUGUAAUGUGCGGCAGGGAUUCUUAGAAACUCUGUUAAAAUUCUGCCAACAAAAUGAAGGGAAGUUUGGGCUAAAACCCCUAAGCUGGAUGGAGAGAGGACCUAACCCAUCAGAAUAGCUGUCCACCUGACUGCAUCAAACUGCAGAGGUGAUGCUUCUAAUCCAGCUCUCUUUAGAUUCUCUUCCAUGUCCCGUUGCUCUUCAGAAUAGCUGAUAGAUGGGACUAUUAUGGUCAAAACCACUGGAUAAGUACCCCUUCUUCUGACACGCAUUGAGAUUGGUGUUUCAGUUGCUUCUAAUAAAAUCCAAAGGAAGAGGAAAUCCUGGAUUUGUUUCUUGACCUAUUUUAAGGGGUUAAUUUUUGUGGAAUAAUAGAAAAUCUUUUUGGCAAUGCACUGAUAUCCAGGUUUUCAAAGCUGGAUGCCUCAAGCUAGACUCUUAAACUUAUAUUUAAGCAGUUAAAUAGUGGUCAGAUUUUUCCACUGUGCUACACACCUGCAGCUCCCAUUGAACUCAGUAAAGAUGUAGAUGUCUAGUGCUAUGGAUUUUGAAAACAUUGGUGUCAGGGCUACAGGGUGCACUGCCUUUUACACCUUUCCGGUCCCUCUCGAGUGUGCCACAGCCUGAUGACAUGUUUGGCAUUUUUCGUCUCUCUGAAGGGUGGAACAACACUCUUGGAUUGGAUCAGUGGGUUGCAGUCCCCCUGUUUCCCAACCAUGUCAACGUGACCAGUCCAAAUGUAUUUGGCACUGCAUGAAAGCUUCCCUCCAAGAGUCGGGGGUGGAGGGGGAGGAAGCAAGUGGGGCAAUUUGCCCUGGGCCCCCCGGGGCCCCCCGAGCUGCUUCAGGUUUUUCGACGGCACUUUCACGAUGAGCCCUUCACUCGCUCCGGGUCUUUGGCAGCGGGUCCUUCAGUGCAGCCGAAGACUUGGAGUGCC